UUACCUGGUAGUCAGAAAUGCAGG
RNAcentral lists this non-coding RNA (24 nucleotides) under Arabidopsis thaliana (thale cress). The record is from RNAcentral. Lineage: Eukaryota; Viridiplantae; Streptophyta; Magnoliopsida; Brassicales; Brassicaceae.